Molecule: non-coding RNA, 854 nt
Organism: Rattus norvegicus (Norway rat)
Lineage: Eukaryota; Metazoa; Chordata; Mammalia; Rodentia; Muridae
Source: RefSeq, a predicted model, not a curated record
GACAGAAUACCAACAGACUGAGCUUCAGAACCUAUCCAUAAAUGAAGUGGCCUGCGAUGUUCCGAACAGAGAGCUGGUGAUUGCUCACUUCAACAAAGAGAAUACGGAACAGAUACUUAUGGCAAAAAGGCACUAAAGUCACCGAGCACUGAAUAUCUACUCCACCUUUCUGUUCCUUAGUUAGCACAGAGUGGAUUUCAGAAGAUGUCUGUAUGCCAGCUGUAGUCUUGGAGAAUCACCAUGACUGCUUCAAGGGGACCUAGGACCGGAGGACCUGAGGACCUGAGGACCUGAGGAUCAGAGGACCUGAGGACCUGAGGACCUGAGGAUCAGAGGACCUGAGGACCUGAGGACCUGAGGAUCAGAGGACUUGAGGACCUGAGGACCUGAGGAUCAGAGGACCUGAGGACCUGAGGACCUGAGGGUUUGAAAAAAUGCUGCAGACUACAGUCUAAAGCUGUAGACAAACUGACUUCAGUUUCGAUAUACUUUUUUACAUGAAUGUAACAAAGAAAUCAAUGAUCCAAGGAAGGUUGUUUAGGUUCAGGAAAACACAUAAACAAACCAUAUACUAAAUAUUAACAGAGCAGCCCUUUUCCUGAUCUUCCUCAAGACGGACCAAUUUAAACAAAAUUACCUGGCACAUAUUAUAUUAUAUCUGAGAAAGCAUGAAAGCAAUGUAGAAGGCUAUAUUCAUCUUCAGGAUAUAUUGACCAGAUUGGGUUCAGUGUCAGAUAGUUAUAAUCUGACAUCUAACAAGAAUAAACAUGUCUUAUAAAUUAAAUGUAAAUGCUUGUCACAGGAUGCAUGAAAUCAUGUCCAACAACAUGAAAAUAAAUGUACGUGAGGAAAAA